Molecule: ribosomal RNA, 497 nt
Filed under: uncultured bacterium
Lineage: Bacteria
Description: partial 16S ribosomal RNA
Rfam family: Bacterial small subunit ribosomal RNA
Source: RNAcentral
GAUGAACGCUGGCGGCGUGCCUAAUACAUGCAAGUCGAGCGAACAGACGAGGAGCUUGCUCCUCUGACGUUAGCGGCGGACGGGUGAGUAACACGUGGAUAACCUACCUAUAAGACUGGGAUAACUUCGGGAAACCGGAGCUAAUACCGGAUAAUAUAUUGAACCGCAUGGUUCAAUAGUGAAAGACGGUUUUGCUGUCACGUAUAGAUGGAUCCGCGCCGCAUUAGCUAGUUGGUAAGGUAACGGCUUACCAAGGCAACGAUGCGUAGCCGACCUGAGAGGGUGAUAGGCCACCUUGGAACUGAGCCACGGUCCAGACUCCUACGGGAGGCCGCAGUCGGGAAUCUUCCGCAAUGGGCGAAAGCCUGACGGAGCAACGCCGCGUGAGUGAUGACGGUCUUCGGAUCGUAAAACUCUGUUAUUAGGGAAGAACAAAUGUGUAAGUAACUAUGCACGUCUUGACGGUACCUAAUCAGAAAGCCACGGCUAACUACGUG